UACCCACAGAUGUUCACUGAAUGUUCAUGAGUAGUAAGCCAGAAGCCUGGGCCAGUGACGAACUGGCAUAGAUAAUACCUGAGGCAUUUGGAACCUCUCCCAAGUAUAGGGCAACCACCCUUAGAAGGCAGGAUUGCUGAGAAAAAGCCAGCAGAGGCACUCCAGGCUUUCAGUUCUGGAAUGCUGCAGGCAGGGGAAGAGCUAGAGAUAACUCUCACCCCACACUCUGGCAGUCCAUGUUUUCAGCCACCAAGGACUGGGGACAGGGCAGAAGAGAAAUCGUGAGUGGAGGAUCUCAAGUCCACAUUUUUUGGGGUGCUCCAGUUGCUCCACUGAAAAUGACAGUAUCAGAAGACACAGCUUCUUUAAUGUCUGUUGCUGACCCCUGGAAAAAAAUUCAGCUUUUAUACAGUCAACAUUCUUUAUAUCUGAAGGAUGAAAAACAGCACAAAAAUCUUGAAAACUAUAAAGUCCCAGAAUCUAUUGGUUCUCCAGAUCUUAGUGGUCAUUUCUUAGCAAACUGUAUGAAUAGACAUGUUCAUGUGAAAGAUGACUUUGUACGUUCUGUUUCUGAAACACAGAAUAUAGAAUCCCAGAAGAUUCACUCCUCUAGACUGAGUGAUAUAACUAGCUCUAAUAUGCAAAUAUGUGGAUUUAAAAGCACAGUUCCGCAUUUAACCGAAGAAGAAAAGUAUCAAAACUUCUCAGUGAAAAUAAAAUUAGAGAUGAACAGCCUAAACAUCAGCCAGAUAUAUGUGAUGUUGUUAUUCAUGAGGACCAAUGGAUUGGUGAGACAGUACUACAAUCAACAUUUAGCAGUCAGUUAUUAAAUCUUGGGAGUUAUUCAUCUAUUCAGCCUGAAGAAUGUAAGGCACAUUUUAAAUGAAGUAAUGUAUUAGUGUUUAAAGUAUAAAAACAUACUAGGAAAGAUUAGGGUUAAAAUGGUUCUUUUACAAAAUGUUUUCUAAACAGUUGGAGAGUAUUGGUUUCUUUUCAUUAGUAAGAAUGAAAAUAGAAUUUUAAGAAAUGAACUUGUACAUUGUAAAUCACAUUUAUUUUAAGAAGUAUUGGGUCUCAUGUUUCGUUUUCUUAGGCCAUCAGUAUAGUGGUUCUUCACCUUUUAGGGAGUCAGAGACCUCUUUGAGAAUCUAUAGACCAUUUCUCCAGAAAACUGGACUUAUGUAGAUAGGCACAAAAUUUUGCUUAUAAUUCUAAAGCAUUCCAUGGACCUCUGAAGUUCUUCUGUGGAACUUCUGAGCCUCUGAUUAAGAAUCCUUGAGGUAAUAAAAAUGUAUUGGUCUCGUAUUCAGACAGCUGUGGUUUGAAUCCUUAUUCUCCUGUCUACCACUGCUAAGAAAAGCUAUCUUUCUUCUUUAAUGUCCAGUUUUCUCUUCUUUAAAAGAAGCUGUUUAAUGAGGAAACUAGCAGCUAUCUCCUCCUCUAGGAAAUAAAAUAACAUAAAAAAAAGAAAGAAAACAAAGUAAGGGAAACAGUAUAAACUUGUGGUUUUGGUCACUGGACUCAGAUAGACCAGGAUUUGAAUCCUGGCCCUCUUACUUCCAGUCUUUGUCUUUAGGCAAGUUAUUUCACUUCACUAUACCUUUAUCUCCUUUUCUGUGAAAUGGAGAUAAAAAUACGUAUAUACCUUAUAGGGUUGUUAUGAAGAUUAAGUGAGAAAAUGAAUAUAAGAUGUUGAACCUGCACAUAAUGUAGUAGUAACAUAGUAAUAUUAGAGGGAGAAAUAAUAAGCUAGCAAAAUAUAUUUGAUAAAAUGCUGAAAUAUCAUACAAGAAAAUAGCUAGAGAAAUAUGCUGAUUAUACAAGAAGAUAACUGGAAUAAUAGGAAAGUUAUAGGAUGUAUAUGGAAGAUAGAGCAUGGAAUUCCAAUCUUUGAAUUCUUAAAGAAAGGCAGAGCAAGUAGAAGGGAAGAGCAACAAUUAGAAUAACAAGAACUGUGUUUGGAAUGGGCAAGGUUUCAUUAUAUACUAGGGUGGCCCAUCAGCAGAAAACCAACUCUGACAUAUUUCAUAGACAACUCAAAUAGAGUUCUUCAUCUAUCCAAUAUAUAUUAAUUAUGUGUUGACAUUAUUUCAGGAACUGUGUUUACUGUACACUGGGGGUACAAUGGUGCCUGUCCUCCUGGAGCUUAUGUUCUCAUGUGGAAGACAGACCAAAAAAAAUGAAUGAAACAGACAUAUAAGUAAAAUAUUUGCAGGUGAUAAUGAGUGCUAUGAAGGAAACUAACAAAGGGUUAAGAUACAGAAUGCCAUGGUUCUAGUUGAGAAGGAUUGAUCAUGGAGUAGAAUCAGGGUUAGGAAGUUGUUACAAUAGCUGCAGUUGAGAGAUAAUGGGAGGCCAGUGGAGCUAAAGAGCCGAGAUAUAUUUGUAAAUAGAGUUAAUAGGAUUUUCUGAUGAUGUGGGUCUGGGGAUCAGGGAAGAGGGACAAUCUACUGCUACUGGAUUACUGGUUUAAGUAACUAGGUAGCCUUUAUUGGGAAAGACUGAGAGGGAACUGGUUUGUGGGGAAAAGGGCUAUGUUUCAAGGCAUGUUAAGUUUUAGAUAUCUUUGAGAUAUUCAAGUGGAAAUGUCAUAUAAGAACUGGAAACAAAGUUCAGGACUCAGAAGACAGGUUUAAAAUUAAGAGGCAAAUUUUAGAGUUAUUAGCAUACAGAUAAUAUUUCAAAUUUAAAAGUUUUUAAAAUAUUAUCUGUAUAAUUAUAGAAUCACAGGGGAUUGCAAAAAUAAUACAUAAAGUCCCAUGAACUCUUCUUCUAGCUUCUCCCAAUGGUGAUAUCUUAUAUAACUUUAGUACAAUAUCAACAACAGGAAAUCAACAUUUGUAUAAUACUGUUAACUAGUAAUAUACUAGGAUACUUUCCCUUUCAGUAUCAAUAAAUAUAGUAUCAGCCUGGCACAGUGGCUUAUGCCUGUAAUCCCAGCACUCUGGGUGGCUGAGGCAGGAGGAUUACUUGGGCCCAGGAGCUCGACACCAGCCUGGAUGAUAUGGUGAAACCUCAUCUCUACUAAAAAUAUGGAAAAAUUAGCCAGGUGUAGUGGUGCACACCUGUAGUUACAGCUACUGGGGAGGCUUAAGUGGGAAAGAAAGUUGAGGCUGCAGUGAGCCAUGAUUGUACCACAGCACUUCUGCCUGGGUGACCAGAGUCAGACCUUGUCUCAAAAAAAAUUUUUUUCUUAAAUAAAUAAAUAUAGCAUCAAUACAGCAUUAUAAUAUGAUUAAUACUAUAUCAAUAAAAUAGAUACUUAGUCCUAAUGCCAAUGUCUUAUUUAAUAGAAAAGCACUCGAGGCAUUGUCAUUAAAACCAGGAAAAAGAUAAGGAUGUCCACUAUCUCUGCAACUAUUCAUCUUAUACUAGAAUUAUCAGCUAAUGCACUUAGACAAGAAGAGGCAUCUGGUCUGGUGCGGUGGCUCACGCCUGUAAUCCCAGCACUUUGAGAGGCCAAGGUGGGCGGAUCACUUGAGGCCAGGAGUUUGGGACCAGCCUGGCCGACAUAGCAAAACCCUGUCUGUACUAAAAAGAUGAAAAAUUAGCCAGGUGUGGUGGUGCAUGCCUGUGGUCCCAGCUACUCAGGAGGCUGAGGCAUGAGAAUUGCCUGAACCUAGGAGGUGGAGGUUGCAGUGAGCACCACUACACUGCACUGCAGCCUGAGCGACAGAGCGAGAUUCUGUCUCCAAAAAAAAAAAAAAAAAAAAAAAAAGAAAGAAGAGGCAUUUGAACAUUUGAAUGGAUAAAGAAGAAUGAAAAUUAUCUCUAUUUACAAA
Pan troglodytes (chimpanzee) is the source of this 3782-nucleotide long non-coding RNA. The record is from Ensembl. NCBI's taxonomy places the organism in Eukaryota, Metazoa, Chordata, Mammalia, Primates, Hominidae.